CAUUCAUUUAUUUAUACAUAUAUACAUACAUUCAUUGUAAAGGUGCCUAACAGCAACUGUCUUUCAAAAGUAAAACAGAUUUAAAUUCAUUUCAACAUUAAAAAACCAAAGAGCCUUAUUUAUGUUUCCUUUGGAGACCAGAGAGCGUGCUGACACUAGAAAUGUGUUGACUGUUUUCUCUCAGCUGAGCACCACCGGGCUCUUCAGCAGAGGGAAAGCAGAAGCUGCAGGAAGCCCUUACUUGUCAUGCUUCCUUUGUUCCAUAAUUAAAUAGGCACGACCCCAUUCAAAGACUCCAUUACAUCUUACAGGUCUAAAUGCUGUCAUUGGUAUCCCACUGUGGGGAGCCGAGGAAAGCUUGAAUGAAUGUGUAAAAAAUGAAGUUCUGGCCGGGCAUGGUGGCGCAUGCCUUUAAUCCUAGCACUUGGGAGGAAGAGGCAGAGGCAGGUGGAUUUCUGAGUUCGAGGCCAGCCUGGUCUACAAAGUGAGUUCCAGGACAGCCAGGGCUACACAGAGAAACCCUGUCUCGAAAAAGAAAGAAAGAAACAAACAACAACAACAACAACAACAAAAAAAAAGAAUGAAGUUCUGGGGGCUGGAGAGAUGGCUCAACGGUUAAGAGCACUGACUGCUCUUCCAGAGGUCCUGAGUUCAAAUCCCAGAAACCAUAUGGUGACUCACAACCAUCCAUAAUGAGAUUUGACCCCCUCUUAUGUAUCUGAAGACAGCUACAGUACUCAUGUACAUAAACUAAAUAAAUCUAAAAAAAAAAUGAAGUUCUAAGUGAAUGUGUGUAGUUGACAUGGGUGCAUCCAUGUCAAGGGCUGAAGGCCUAGGACCCAUGGGAGUGGCCGUGCCUUCCCUGUAUGGGUCAGGCUUGGAACUGGUAAACGCUAAACCCUUCUUGGGGUCCAAGGAAGAGUGUUUUCAAAUAAUUGAUGAGGACAUACAAAAGCUAGCAAUUGAAGCUUCUCCUCCCAGAUGACUGCAACUGGAGACUGCUCCACCUACACCUGCUGUGCACAACAGUGUGCUGAGAUUUUAAGCUGUUGCAUAGUAGAUACACUCCACCAGAGCUGGCAUAACCUACUUGGUGCCAGUUUUUCUGGACAUUGUAUCUGCAUAUCUGUCUUUUCUUUUUUCCCUAGGCACCACAGUCAGGUUUUAAAGACCGAUGGCUACAGUAAGCAACACAUACCCACUCUAUUCAGAUUUGAAAAUAUAUAGUUACUUAUUUAAGGUGGGUCUCUCUAUGUAGUCUUCACUGGCCCGAAACUUGAUAUGUAGACCAAGCUGACCUCCAACUCAGAUUCAUGUGCCUCUGCCUCUGGAGUGUUGGGAUCCAAGGUGUGCGCCACCUCAUUUGGUCAAAGAUUGUACAUAUUUUAAGUGUCUGCCUGACAUUUUAGGAGUCUGUAGUUGGCAACAUCAGGCAAACACCUUAACUACUGGAUCCCUUAUCCCGUGGCCUGAUUCUUUGUCUUGGUUCUGUUAGCAUCUCAUCCUCCUCUCACUUUUACUUCACUGUGGUUUCCUUUUAUUCAAGAAUAUACUGCAUUUGCUCAUCCUAAACCUCUUACGUAAUGCACUACCAACAUCUGUACCCCAACCCCAAACUAACAUCUUGGAAAUAAAAGAAAGAUCCGAGUUGGAAUACACAGUCACCUGACAGAAACCUUUUAAAAUUCUCAUGCCUUGAAAUUACACAGAUGGCAACACAUUCAAAACAUGUGUCAAGGCAAGUCUCUGCAACCCUCCCUGACUGUCAGGAUAGGAUUGCAGUGGGUAAGCCACUGCAAUCACCCAGCAGACAGCUGUCAGAAAUAUCUUUCUGGUAUGCAAACUAGAAGCAUCAUACUCUGCUUUUAAUGCCAUCUCAGCUCUUGCUAUUUCUUUCUUUCUUUUUUUUUUUUUUUUUUUGGUCAUAACAACCAGCUCUGAGGUUGUUGUUGUUUUUUAAUUUUAGCUCUUGUGAUUUGAUCCGAACAACCCCCACAAAGCUCAUGUGUUAAAAUGCUAGGCGGCCAGCUGGAGGGGCCAUUUAAUGUCCAAAUUGAGUUACUUUCUUCUAUGUACCUGUUUCAUUUUCAGGAACGGAUGGAAUCUUCUCCUCAACAUCAUUUUUGAGAUUAAACCCCGACUAGUGCUUGGAUAUAGUGAUGUAUAAUGCUUAUGCUUUUCCAGUCAUUAUAUAAAUUUCCCAAUAAAAUAGAGAAUCACCCAUUUUAUUGCGCCGUCUUAUUUUUCGCUCAGUAUUAGGCCACAUAUUCAGCAGCUUUUCUCAUUCCACACCUGCCCUCAGAUGACACUUAACCCAGUCGCAAUCUGUAUCACUAUCACUUUCCCCUCUUUAAAGAUGCCAGUUCUGCCGCCGCCGCCCCUUCCGCCAAUCCGUCCGGGUUUCGAAUUACCCCGGGAAAUAAUGAUCAGAGACAGCCAGGCUUAAGCAUUCGGAGGCCACACUUGAAUUAAUUAGAUUCGGUGACUGGGAAGAAGGAACCGGAAGGCGGUGCCUGCACAGGGAGUGCCCGCUGAGAGAAAGCCAAACCCAGCCCUGCCUUGCCAGGAGCUCGUCAACAACCCUUGCCAGAAAACCUUUGAAUCGGAAGCGCAGAGACCGGAAGUACAGCCCUCCUGGGUUAUGAACAGCCAAUCAGAAGUGAGAUCCUUAGUAUACAGGGCGGAAAAGAAGUGGUCCAGUUCCGGCCGCGGCCGCCGCCGCCGCCGCCGCCAUCUGUCACCUCACCUCCGGCACCGGCAGCGGGUUGCCCGUGCCCCGCCCGUGUCCUCGGCGGAGCCCUUUCUUCCUCUUGUCACCUCUCGACUCUGUUCUCGUCUCUGCCUUCUUCCCGGAAUGGAUCUGGUCGGAGUGUCUUCGCCUGAGCCAGGGCCCGCAGCAGCUUGGGGACCCAGUAAGUGCCCAUGGGCUACCCCUCAAAACACAGUAUCCUGUUCACUGACCGAGGUGAUGAGUGAGGAGCUGGCUAAAGAGCUGCAGUUGGAAGAAGAAGCGGCUGCUUUCCCUGAAGUUGUUGUUGCUGAAGGACCAUUCAUUUCUGGAGAAAACAUUGACACUUCCAGUGACCUAAUGCUGGCUCAGAUGCUACAGAUGGAAUUUGACAGAGAAUAUGAUGCACAGCUUAGGCGUGAGGAAAAGAAGUUCAAUGGUGAUAGCAAAGUUUCCAUUUCGUUUGAAAACUAUCGCAAAGUUCAUCCUUUUGAAGACAGUGACAGCUCUGAAGACGAGGUUGACUGGCAGGACACUCGAGACGAUCCCUACAGACCAGCAAAGCCAAUUCCUACUCCCAAAAAGGGUUUUAUUGGAAAAGGAAAAGACAUCACCACCAAGCAUGAUGAAGUAGUAUGUGGAAGGAAGAACACAGCAAGAAUGGAAAAUUUUGCCCCUGGCUUUCAGGUAGGGGAUGGAAUUGGAAUGGAUUUGAAACUAUCCAACCACGUUUUUAAUGCCUUAAAACAACACGCCUACUCAGAAGAGCGUCGGAGUGCCCGUCUACACGAGAAGAAGGAACAUUCUACCGCUGAAAAAGCAGUUGAUCCUAAGACACGCUUACUUAUGUAUAAAAUGGUCAACUCUGGAAUGUUGGAGACAAUCACUGGCUGUAUUAGUACAGGAAAGGAAUCUGUUGUCUUUCAUGCAUAUGGAGGGAGGUAAAUGAAAAACCACAACCACAACAGUGCCACGGUGUGAAAGCACCUUUCUCCUCAGGACUGACGGAUUUACGUAGAAUCUAACAGUGCUGCAGAGCAAGUAGGCAUUUAGACAUCACUACUGUAUAAAGCCUGGAGGAUGAAAAGGAAGAUGGUAAAGCUAUACCAACAGAAUGUGCCAUCAAGGUAUUUAAAACAACCCUUAAUGAGUUUAAGAAUCGUGACAAGUACAUUAAAGAUGAUUUCAGGUUUAAAGAUCGCUUCAGUAAACUAAAUCCACGUAAGAUCAUCCGCAUGUGGGCAGAGAAAGAAAUGCACAAUCUUACAAGAAUGCAGAAGGCUGGAAUUCCUUGUCCAACAGUUGUACUGCUUAAGAAGCACAUUUUAGUUAUGUCUUUCAUUGGCCAUGAUCAAGUUCCAGCCCCUAAAUUAAAAGAAGUAAAGCUUAGUAAUGAAGAAAUGAAAGAUGCCUACUAUCAGACUCUUCAUUUGAUGCAGCAAUUAUAUAACGAAUGUACCCUUGUGCAUGCUGACCUCAGCGAGUAUAACAUGUUGUGGCAUGCUGGGAAGGUCUGGUUGAUUGACGUCAGUCAGUCGGUAGAGCCAACCCAUCCUCAUGGCCUGGAGUUCUUAUUCCGUGACUGUAGGAAUGUUUCACAGUUCUUCCAGAAAGGAGGAGUAACGGAAGCCCUCAAUGAACGGGAGCUGUUCAAUGCUGUUUCUGGCCUGAACAUCUCGGCAGACAAUGAAGCUGAUUUCUUAGCUGAGAUAGAAGCUUUGGAGAAGAUGAAUGAAGAUCACAUUCAGAAGAACGGGAGGAAAGCAGCCUCGUUUCUGAAAGAUGAUGGAAGCCCACCUGUGCUGUCUGCCGACUAGUACAGCGGUGACGGACGGCAGCUGCCAUAGCCAGCGAGUGGAGGUGACCUGACAUACCAAAGCAGGAGUGGACAGUGCUGCUUCUGGGCUUCUCACUUGUGACCCACGUGCCAGAUGUGUGCAAUUUUUAACUCGGCAUUGAAAGAAUAAAAUGUCACUACCUCUCAUCUUACAAAAAGGAUAAUAUAAUUCUUUAACAGGUAUAGAUGUGUAGCCACAGGAGUCUGGAUUUUAUACAACUCAUGAUCUGAAGUGUCUAGAUGAGGAUUUUCACAUAGGCAGUGUUUCCAAAUGUGGGAGGUGGGGACUGAGGUGUUUGCAGGGGAGGCUCGAUGGCUGCGCUCUGCUCCAUUCCGCUCGCCUCCUGCUUUCCCUUGCGUCUUUGGGUGGAUGUUGCUGUUUUAAAUUAGCCCUUCCUAGCUGUUUGACCGUGAGCGUGGAGACCCCAGUGGGUACUAGAAAUGGGCACUUGGCCUCAGUGGAUGGUGGAAAUGGACAUAAGCAUUUUAUUGGUACACCGUAGAUGUGUGGAAUUCUACAUUUCCGUCUCAUAGCCAGGAGAGGUGACAGGUUUCUGAAAGAUAAAUAUAAAAGGAUUUCUUAACUACAUUUUAAAACUUAACUUUCAGGUUUUCUUCAUUAGGUUAAAUGGUUGGUUAUUUACAUUUAUAAUGAGAAUACAAAGUAUCUGGAAGGGCAGAAGGUAAGAAUGGGAUCUGCUACAUUUUAAGAAGGCAGUGAAACAUUUCCGUUUACGUUUCCCCAAAUUGUUCACAUAUUGAUUGCUAAUCAUUUGGAGAGAACUAGAACAAAGUAAGUGGAGCUGUUCAGUAAGUGGAAGACACAGCCUGAACAGCUCAAGUACUGAAUUGACCGGCUAACUCGGCUGUGGGCCUCUGCCAGCGUCACACUGGCUGGACUCGGCCUGAGAAGGUGAGCCUUGUUCUGAAGACCAGUGCUUGCUUGCUCUCACCUCAUUACCCCAGUUCCGGGAGUUACAUUGGAUCCACUAACCAGCUUCACUUUCUGUCUGGUUAUAAAGAGUAAAUGUAAUUUAUAGUUGAAAAAUUUUAACAUUAUUUUAAAUUGCCAAAUAUGUUCUUUCUCGACUAUUUAUUUUUGUUUCUGUUCUACUGCUUUAAUUGCAUUUCAGAGGAGUGAAUUUAGGUGGCUCAUCCCACUUAUGUUUGCUGCUCCACACAAAGAUUUAAAUGAUGAGAAAUUAUUGGCUGGACACAAAUUGCAGAAAAGUCAUUAGAAACAAUCAUUUAAAACUUUGUUUGCUUUCUUCACAUAUUCUUUCUCAAACCAUUGCUUGGAGUGUGCUAUGAACUUGCCUUUCAAGAAAUUAAAAAUGAAGAGAUCAUUUUAGAAUUG
RNA transcript from Mus musculus (house mouse), 5922 nucleotides. It is a transcript of the gene named RIO kinase 3, with no coding region annotated. The record is from RefSeq and is marked provisional. Lineage: Eukaryota; Metazoa; Chordata; Mammalia; Rodentia; Muridae. The transcript is spliced from 13 exons.